AGUGAACGCUGGCGGUAGGCCUAACACAUGCAAGUCGAACGGCAGCACAGGAGAGCUUGCUCUCUGGGUGGCGAGUGGCGGACGGGUGAGGAAUAGAUCGGAAUCUACUCUGUCGUGAGGGAUAACGUAGGGAAACUUACGCUAAUACCGCAUACGACCUACGGGGGAAAGCAGGGGAACUUCGGGCCUUGCGCGAUUGAAUGAGCCGAUGUCGGAUUAGCUAGUUGGCGGGGUAAAGGCCCACCAAGGCGACGAUCCGUAGCUGGUCUGAGAGGACGAUCAGCCACACUGGAACUGAGACACGGUCCAGACUCCUACGGGAGGCAGCAGUGGGGAAUAUUGGACAACGGGCGCAAGCCUGAUCCAGCCAUACCGCGUGGGUGAAGAAGGCCUUCGGGUUGUAAAGCCCUUUUGUUGGGAAAGAAAUCCAUCUGGUUAAUACCCGGAUGGGAUGACGGUACCCAAAGAAUAAGCACCGGCUAACUUCGUGCCAGCCGCCGCCGUAA
RNAcentral lists this ribosomal RNA (506 nucleotides) under uncultured bacterium. Its description in RNAcentral is "partial 16S ribosomal RNA". It matches the Rfam family "Bacterial small subunit ribosomal RNA", at positions 29 to 523 of the family's 1533-position model. The record is from RNAcentral.